UUUAUUGAGAGUUUGAUCCUGGCUCAGGAUGAACGCUGGCGGCGUGCUUAACACAUGCAAGUCGAACGAGAACCAAUGGAUCGAGGAUUCGUCCAAGUGAAGUUGGGGAAAGUGGCGGACGGGUGAGUAACGCGUGAGCAAUCUGCCUUGGAGUGGGGAAUAACGGUUGGAAACAGCCGCUAAUACCGCAUGAAGCAGUUGAGGGGCAUCCCUGUGACUGCCAAAGAUUUAUCGCUCUGAGAUGAGCUCGCGUCUGAUUAGCUAGUUGGCGGGGCAACGGCCCACCAAGGCGACGAUCAGUAGCCGGACUGAGAGGUUGGCCGGCCACAUUGGGACUGAGACAC
RNAcentral lists this ribosomal RNA (344 nucleotides) under Oscillospiraceae bacterium. Its description in RNAcentral is "bacterial SSU rRNA". It matches the Rfam family "Bacterial small subunit ribosomal RNA", at positions 1 to 327 of the family's 1533-position model. The record is from RNAcentral. Lineage: Bacteria; Bacillati; Bacillota; Clostridia; Eubacteriales; Oscillospiraceae.